GAAUAUUGGUCAAUGGAGGCAACUCUGAACCAGCCAAGUCGCGUGAAGGAUGAAGGUCUUAUGGAUUGUAAACUUCCUUUGCAAGGGAAUAAAGUGGGGGACGUGUCCUCCUUUGCAUGUACCUUGCGAAUAAGGAUCGGCUAACUCCGUGCCAGCAGCCGCGGUAAUACGGAGGAUCCGAGCGUUAUCCGGAUUUAUUGGGUUUAAAGGGUGCGCAGGCGGGAUGUUAAGUCGGCGGUGAAAUUUUGCAGCUCAACUGUAAAAGUGCCUUCGAUACUGGCUUUCUUGAGUGUGGAUGAAGUAGGCGGAAUUUGUGGUGUAGCGGUGAAAUGCUUAGAUAUCACGAGGAACUCCGAUUGCGCAGGCAGCUUACUAAACCACUACUGACGCUCAUGCACGAAGGCGUGGGGAUCAAACAGG
This 420-nucleotide ribosomal RNA is filed under the name uncultured bacterium. RNAcentral describes it as "partial 16S ribosomal RNA". It matches the Rfam family "Bacterial small subunit ribosomal RNA", at positions 359 to 776 of the family's 1533-position model. The record is from RNAcentral.